GAAUUCUGACAGGAAAAAAUAUUUUAAUGAGAUGAAUAUUCAGAGUUUAGAAAGGUGAGUUUAGAACUGAGAAGGCCGGGAUUGUUACUUGUCCUGGACUUCUGACCGCAGAGGGAUUUUCAGUUCUUUGUCUUCUCAAGCACAGGAGGAAGGGUCCAGAGAAGGGCCUGGACAGCAGGUGUGCUCAGGCUAGAGGCCAGGUCACUGUUUGCAAACUGCAGGAAGCCACCUAUUUGGGGAUUUCUCAUCUAGUUACACUGCAGGGAGAUAGGACAAAGCGUGACUUUCUGGGACUCAGAAAUGGAUGUACCAACCAGGCAAAUUAAAGCUGGUGGUGGGGUUGGUGGGGGAUGCAUGUACUUCCGGAAGCAGUCGGGUGACACCCAGAGGGGCUGUGUUGAAAUUGACCCACAUCCACCCAACCGCAGAAAGGACCGCCUCUCACCCUUUCCCAAGGGAAAGCACUCAGGGAAGGGACAGAGAGUGUGGAAAGAGUGAGAGCUAGGGAAGCACUAGGUGAGUUGCCUUCAGGCCUGGCUGUAAACUGAGAGUGAAUCUGAGACCCCGCACACUUGGACACACACCUCAUGUUCCAAAGUACAAAGGGAUGUCCUAGAAUUGGGGGUUUGGCCCCCAUGUCAUACAUUUUUAAUCUUUUUACCAAAGUGAUUUGUUAAAUAUUUUGCAUGGUGAAGCUAGGUUAUUACUGCUUUGUAAGACUUUUCAGCCAAGAAAGCCCACAAAUCAGAGAAAAUCCUGCCAAACCCAGUGCUGAAAUUUCUGCUUCACGAAGUUCAGUUACCAGAUCUGGAAACUGGAAAUAGGACCUGCCCCAGGCAAAAUUCUGAAGUAAACAUAGUUUGCUUUUUAAGUCAUGCGCCCGGCCUUUCUUUUCCUUGCUUUCCUGAUCAUUCUGACCCCUGAGAAUCCCAGCCUCAUGGCAGGCUCUCUGACACAGGUGUUUGAGGUCAUCCAGGGUUUCCUCUUGGUUUUAAAAUUGGGGUGUUGGAUGUAAGCCCUAUUUCUAACAAUAGAAGGAUGUUUUGCUCUAUGGAGAAAGUGGUGGAAGAAACUGGGGGCCAAAAGGUCCACAGCCCCACGAGAAAUCAUGACCCAGAAUGAGCACCCGUUCCAGCAACAGCUGGGAAGGUCCUGAGAACCCUGGCUGGAGGAAGACUUGUUUGAAGCUGGAACCUUCAGCUAGAAAUAGAGCACACCCCUUGCUUGAUUCUUGAGUUUAGUCUCAGAGUGGUCUAGGAAACCUUCUUUUCUUUUUUUUUUUUUUUUUGCCAGACUUUCAGUGUCUGCCUCUGUGACUUGGAGCUGGUCGUCAUUAAGAGAGGAAGAGAGUUAUCAGUGAGAGGUGUUCAUUCUAUUCUUUGCAUCCACUCCAGAGCAGCACCAUGUGAUAAGCCAGAUGGGGACUAUGUGCAUGUGCCCACAAUAAUGGAUUGACAUUUGAAAGCCACUGCUCAGAAUGAAGUAAUCUCCGAUGUCUUAGAUAGAGGAAGGAAGGCCUGUGGAUGCAGCCUAGGUGACUGAGUCCAGUUACCCAGGAUCCGUUCAUCAGAAAGCCUCUAAACUGCUCCAGAGAGGCUGCAACAACCUAACUCAUGCUAGAUGAUGAAAAUGCACUUCGAGAUUACUAAACAAACCAACAAACAAACAGCCAUGCCCUUGGAGAAACGAAACAAUCUCUCAAACAUAGACAUACCUCAGGCCAGGGGUCAACUUGUACAUUAAAGUGUUUGAUACUUUUUAUGAGCAAAGAUGUUUAGUGGAUGUUGCUCCCAAGAAAGUUUUCAAGAAGACCCUAAAGAUUAUCUAAGUGGGCAGAAAUUAUAGGUGACACCUGUUUUUUUCUUGACAAAGCAAUAGAGUAAAGUAGGAAAGAACUGGUGGUUCUUUUCUACAGAGAGAUUAAAGUUAAAGCACAGAGGUUAAAGUUAAAGCAAUUUGGCACCCACAGGAAGACACUUACAGACAAGAUGUUCUCUGGCACAGACUUCAUUGUUGGUGAAAUUAUAAGAUUACACAAAGAGCAAUACUAUUCUUUCCUAUAGUGGUUGCUUCUUAUUAAUAUAUAUGUAUAUAACACAUAGUACCUGAAGUUUUGUGAUGACUGGUUAGUAAGUUUUCAAAAUUCAGAUUAAUCUAUUCUUAACAAUAUGGACACUGAUAGCCUAUUAGCAAGCCAUUUAUUUGGAAUUUAUAAUCAUGGAAUUUUCGUACUACAUUAAGAAUCUCCAUGGGUGAUAAUAGAGCACUAAAAUAGCUAGCAUUGCACUGAUGUUUCUCACUCUCUACAUUUGUUUAAUUCCUCUGCCAGAGACACUUACUUAACUUGUCUUGGUGGAUUUUUGUAAUGUGUCUUUCAAAUGGAAAAACCGUAUUCAAGCAUUCCAGUUUUAUCAAGUAGCAAAAACACCCAGGCUGUUGGCCAGAAUUUGCAUGUUUGUUACUGCAGUACAUACCCAGAUAUCUCAGGCAGAGGAAUAAUAACAAUUUUCCACAAUGUCAUUGGAUCCAUAAUUCUGGCAGUAGGUUAAUUCACUUAGCCACUUCCAUUAAAGCAAUAAUUAUUGGCAUAUAAUCUUAGAAAUCACCAUGCAUUGCGGUGUUCAAUUCCAGUUGAAAUAGAAUUUUUAGUUCAAUAAAUGUUUGCUAAGUACCUACUAUGUGUACUGCUGUAUUAUUUCUUACCUUUGUCCAGCACUUCAGAAUUGUAAAAGUUAUGUUGAUUUUAUCAUUUCAUUCUGACAGAACCUUGUGAUGAGGACAAGCAGGUUAACAUACAAGGAAACUGAUGCAUGCAGAGAUUAAAUACCUUGCUAAAUACCUUGCUCAAGAUCUCGAAGACAGUAAGUGAUGUAGUUACAAAUACAAUCCAGGUUUUCUCAAGCCCAUUCCAGUCUUCUCUGCUCUGCCCUGCUAUACCCCACCUCAUUGUCACCACUCGCUGUUGAUGUCUAUCUUAAAUUGCCCUUUACCAAUUCUCUGAAUAAUUUUCUGUGCCAAUAUUUUUUUCUUUUGUUUUUUUGAAAUGUUUUACAAUCUCACUAAGCAACGUGUUAUGUGAUUCAGAAGGUCUUAUCUUCAUAAGCUCAUCUAAUGUGGCUACCAGUAUUUGCCAAUCAGUUCCUUUGCUUUCCAUAUUGCUAAUGAUAGCUUUGCAUACCUCUUUCUUCCAGCAGCAGGAACAAAAGAGAAACCUGGCCAUUGCACCAGGAUAAGCAGUGUGAUACACAGAGAAGUCUGAGAGUGAAGAGACCUGAAUUCUUGUGUUGAUUCUGCCAUUACUUUGACAUGAAAUGUUGGACAAGGCAAUAUGCCACCACAGGCCUUACUUUUCUACUCUACAGGGAUUGCAAUGCUUUUUUGGACCUCAGAGGGUUGAGGUUAGCACAAAAUAUGUGAAGGAUUUGAAAAGAAUUAAACUCUAUAUUAAUGUAAAUAUUACCAAGUCUUUUUAGAAUCCCUGCUAGCAUAAAGUGUGUGUGUGUGUGGUGUGUGUUUGUGGUGGAAGCUGGGGGAGAGUAAAGAAACUUCUCAAUGGCUAUCCUGGAUCAAACAUAUUUGAAUUAUAUUUCUGUGUGUCUGUAAGCACACACGUUAUAAUUCUGUGCCUGUGGGAUGGAGAGUGUAGAUGGGAAUGCAGAAGGAUAUAAGAUACUACCUUACAUUUCAGGGACUUGAUGCCUUUGUAAUGUAUACAUAGACUCAAUUUUCUAAGCACUACUAUCUACCCAGUUAUGCAUAUUCUGGGCACAAAACCAGAUAGGAUUUCUCCAUUUCUGGUAUCUGCAGAAAAACAGAAAUAUCUAGAUUGAUAGUUGCUAUGGUUUGAACGUCCUCUCAUAAAUUCACGUUGAAAUCUAAUUGCCGUUGUGAUGGUAUUAAGAGAUGGGACCAUUAAGAGACAGUUAGACCAUGAGGUCCCAUCCUCACAAAUGUAUUAAUGACAUUAUUGUGAAAGUGGGUUGGUUAUUGUGGGGGUGGUUUCCCAGGUGAGUUUGGCCAACUCCCUCUGUCUGGUAUGCUUGCUUGCCCUUCCACCUUCUUCCAUAGGAUGGCUCAGCAUGAAGGUACUCCCCAGAUGCCAGUGCCAUGCUCUUGGAUUUCUCAGUCUCCAGAACCAUGAACCAAAUAAACUUCUGUUCAUUAUAAAUUACUCAGACUCAGGCAAUCUGUUAUAGAAGCAGAAAAUAGACUAAGGCAAUAAUUUAAUAUAGAACUCAGUGAAGAUAAAAAUAAAAUCAUCUACCAGUACACACUUAUCAGAAUGGCCAAAACCUAGAACAUUGACAACACCAAAUGCUGGCCAGAAUGUGGAGCAACAGGAGUUCUCAUUCAUUGCUGGUAGAAAUGAAAAAUGGUACAGCCACUUUGGGAGAAAGUUCAGUAGUUUCUUUCACAAAACGAAAUACAUCUUUACCAUAUGAUCCAAUAAUCAAAUUCCUUGGUAUUUACCCAAAGAAGUAGAAAACGUUCACACAAAAACCUGCACACAGAUGAUUAUAGCAGUUUUGUGUAUAAUUUCAAAAACUUGAGAACAACCAAGAUGUCCUUCAGUAAGUGAAUGGGAUAAACUAGUACAUCCAGACAAUGGAUUUACUAAUGAAAACUUUACAUUUCAAGUCAUGAAAAAACAUGGAGGAGCCUUGAAUGCAUAUUACAAAGUGAAA
Molecule: long non-coding RNA, 4685 nt
Filed under: Homo sapiens (human)
Lineage: Eukaryota; Metazoa; Chordata; Mammalia; Primates; Hominidae
Description: HSALNT0032972
Source: RNAcentral